GGGACAGUAGCUCAACCUGGGAGAGCACUAGACUGAAGAUCUAGGUGUUCCGGGUUCAAAUCCCGGCUGUCCCA
Molecule: transfer RNA, 74 nt
Filed under: Candidatus Woesearchaeota archaeon
Lineage: Archaea; Nanobdellati; Candidatus Woesearchaeota
Description: tRNA-Phe
Rfam family: tRNA
About the family: Transfer RNA (tRNA) molecules are approximately 80 nucleotides in length.
Source: RNAcentral